AGGGCCCUGCGUGGCUGCGGCGGGGACGGCGGCGCAUGGCGCAGGCUCGAGGACACCCUGCUCGGCAGCCACCGGCGGCCCCAGGCCCGGGCACCGCCCGCGCGCCCCGCAGGCCCCGGCGGCCCGGCCGGGCUCCUGGCGCCCCGCGUCCCCCCGCCGUCUGUGUCUGCGCAGCGCGAGCCACGUGCAGUGACGCCGUCCCCGGGAAGCCGCAGCGGCCGGAAGCCCGGGACGGAGCCCCUGCGGCGGCUGGAGGCGAGCGGGCCGCGGAAACCCCGGCCCCGGAGGGAGCGGCCCCGAGCGCGGCGGGCCGGGGCGGGAGGGCCGGGGACCGGGUGGGGGCUCCGCGGACGGGGCCGGGGCUGCGCGGCCCCUGCCCUCCCGCAGCCGCUGCCCCCGACGCGGCCCAGGCGGAGCAGCUGGCCCGGGAGCUGGCGUGGUGCGUGGAGCAGCUGGAGCUGGGCCUCCGGAGGCAGAAACCGACCCCGAAGCAGAAAGAGCAGGCCGUCGGGGCAGUCCGAGCCCUGCGCAGCGACAGGACCCCCUUGCCCCGGAAGAGGCAGCUGAUGCGCUCCUUGUUUGGGGACUACAGGGCUCGGAUGGAAGCCGAGUGGCGCGAGGCUCUGCGGGACCUCAGGGCUGAGUUGGAAUGUGCCAGUAGCUGUGAGCGGGGCGGGCUGCUGCAGAGUGGCUGUGGGCUCUGCAUCUGAAGUGACAGCGACAGCAAUGGCAGCUCCUUGGUGGCCCUCACAAGCCCAGCAGGCUCCAACAGCGACCCCAGCACACGGUGGCAGCGCUCAGUUCCAGGCAAGUCUAAAGGUUUAGUCCAGGCUUUGCAGCUGAUCCAGUGGCCCUCCAUAGAGCUGUCAGUCCCUGCUGCACUGAUGCAUGCCUGCUCCCUGAUGGACAUCAAAUUGAGCAGCAGAUUCACCUCCACCCAGCAGCCCUCUACAGAGUUGCUGGGCCUUUCUGCACCUGUGCAUGUCUGCUCUCUGCUGGACAGCAGAUUGGGUGGUGGAUUUGCCUCCUCCAGCAGGUCUCCAUAGAGCCACCUGGCCCUGCUGUGCCCAAGCACACCAGCUCCUGGCCAGGCAGUGGCAUCAACUCCAUUGACAGUCCUGUGCAGAGCCACAUGGCCCCUCCCCUUCAGCAAGGCUCACCUGGUUCCAGUCCAAAAGUUUUUCAAGCAGUGUGCCAUCCCCUGGGAGAAACAACCUGAGAGCUGUUUGUCCCUGCUUGGUUUGGUAGCUGGUCAGGCACUGACUCUACAUCUCAGAGAGACCACCAAAUAGGCAGUUGACCCUCUGCAACCUGCACACAUCUGGCCAAACAACCAGCCUGGAGGUUCAAAGUCAUACCAAAGUAUAAAGGAUAUAGCAAAAGAAGUUCUAAGGGAAAUGAUUAUAGCAAUAAAUGCCUACAUCAAAAAAGAAUGAUUUCUAAUCUAACAUUGCUCCUAAAGGAACCAUAAAAGCAAUAAGAAACUAAACCCAAAAUAGGCAGAAGGGAAGAAAUAAUAAAGUUCCAAGCAGAAAUGCGUGAAAUAGAAAAAAAAAUGAAAAGAUCAAGAAAAUGAAGAGUUGGAUUGUUGAAAAGAUAAAAUUGACAAAGCUUUAGUCAGAAUAACCAAUAAAAAAAUAGAGAAGACUCAAAUAAAUAAAACAAAAAUGAAAAGGGGAUGUUACAGUUGAUGCCACAGAAAUACAAAGAAGCAUAAGGGACUAUUAGGAACAUCAAUAUUCCAACAAAUUUGAUAACAUAGAAGAAAUGGAAAAUUCCUGGAUAGAUAUAAUCUGCCAAGAUUAAGUUAUGAACAAAAAGAAAACAUGAACAGACCAAUAAUAAGUGAGGAAACUGAAUCAGAAAUACAAGUCUUCAUUAAGAAAAAGCUCAAGACCUGAUGCCUUCAGUGCUGAAUUCUGUCAAACAUUUAAAGAACUGAUAACAAUACUCUUCCAAUCAUUACAGAAAAUUGAAGAGGAGGGAAUAUUUCUCAUCUCAUUUUAUGAGCCCAGCGUUGCUCUGGCUCAAAGCUGGACAAGUACACAACAACAAAAAAAAAAAAAAAAAGAAAAGAAAAUUAUAGGCCAAUAUCCCUGAUGACAUAGAUGUGAAGAUUCUCAACAAGAUACUAACAAACUGAAUCCAGGAGCACGUUAUGAAUAUUGUUUGCUAUGAUCCAGUGGGAUUUAUCCCAGGGAUGCAGGAUGGUUUAACAUAACACAAAUCAAUAAAUGUGAUACACCACAUUAACAGAAAGAAAGACAAAAACCAUAUGAUCAUCUCAAUUGAUGCAGAAAAAGCAUUCGAAAAAGCUCAACACUCCUUCAUGAAAAAACUCUUAACUAGUUAUAGAAGGUAUGUGCCUCAAUACAAUAAAGGCCAUAUAUGAGAAACCCACUGCUAAUAUCAUACUGAGUGGGGAAAAGCUGGAAAGCCUUUUCUUUUAGAUCAGGAACAAGACAAGAACAGCCACCUGCACCACUUCUGUUCAACAUAGUAAUGGAAGUCCUAGCCAGAGCAAUUAGAAAAGAGACAGAAAUGAAAGGAAACCAGAUUGGAAAGGAGGACGUCAAACUGUUCCUAUUUGCAGUCUUUAGUAAACCCUAAACAUUGUAACAAAAAGCUGUUAGUUACGACUAAUAAACAAAUUCAGUAAAUUUGCAGGAUACAAAAUCAACGUACAUAAGUCAAUAGCAUUUCUAUAUACUAAUAGUGAACUUUCUGAAAAAAAUCAAGAAAAUAAUUCCUUUUACAAUAACUAUGAAAGAAAGAAAGAAAGGAAGGAAGGAAGAAAAGAUACCUUAUAAACUUAACCAAGGAGGUGAAAGAACUCUAUCAUGAAAACUAAAGAACUUUGAAGAAAAAGAUCGAGGAGGACACAAAAGGAAAGAUAUAAUAUGUUCAUGGAUUGGAAGAAUUAAUAUUGUUAAAAUGGCCAUUCUACCUAAAGCCAUCUACAGAUUGAAUGCAAUUCCUAUCAAAAUGUGUAUGACAUUCUUUACAGAAAUAGAAAAAAUAAUCCUAAAAUAAAUAUGAAAUUAAAAAGGACUGCAAAGAGCGAAAGCAAUUCUGAGAAAACUACGCAAAGCUGGAGGCACCACACUACCUGACAUCAAAGUAUACAAUAAAGCUGUAGUAACCAAAACUGCAUGGUCCUGGCAUAAAAACAGACAUAUAGACCAAUGGAACAGAAUAGAGAGCCCAGACAUAAAUUCACACACCUACAGCUGAUGGAGUUUGGAUGUGUUGUUCCCUCCAAAACUCAUGUGGAAAUUUGAUCCCCAGUGUGGCAGUGUUGGAAACUGAUUGAGUCAUGGGAGCGGAUCCCUCAUGAAUGGAUUAAUGCUCUCCCUGGGGGAGGGGGGAUUAAUGAGUGAGUUCUCACUCUAUUAGUUCCCACAAGAGGUCGUUGAUUUUAAUAAAAACCCUGGCACCUUCUCUCUCUCUCUUGUCUUUCUUGUUUCCUCUCACCAUGUGAUCUGCUUGUACCCACCGGCUGCCUGCCACUUUCUGCCAUGAGUAGAAGCAGCCCGAGGCCCAUGCCAGAUGCAGCUGUCCCAGAAUCAUAAGCAAAAUAAACCUCUCUUCUUUAUAAAUUACCCAGUCUCAGGAUGCUGUUAUAGCAACACAAAAUGGACUAAAACAGAAAAUUGGUACCGAGGAGUGGGGUGUUGUUAAACAGAUAUCUGAAAAUGUGGAUGCAUCUUUGGAGCUGGGUAAUGGGCAAAGGUUGGAGGAGUUUCGAGUACUUAGAAGAAGAAAAAAAGAUGAGGGAAAGUUUGGAAUGUUUUAGAGACUUAUGUGGUGGCGAGCAGAAUGCGGAUAGAAAGGUGGACAGUAAAGUCCAUGCGGAUGAUGAGGUCUCAGAUAGAAAUGAGGAACUUAUUGGGAAUUGGACAAAAGAUAACCCUUGCUACACCAUAGCAAGGAACCUGGCUGCAUUGUGUCCAUGCCCUUGGACUUUGUGGAAGGUGAGACUUAAGAGUUGUGAACCAGUGCAUUUGGUAGAAGAAAUUUCUAAACAGCAAAGCAUUAAGGAAGCUGCAUGGUUGCUUUUAAGAGCCUGCUCUGAGUUAUGGUGGCAAAGACAUGAUGUAAAGCCAGAAAUUAAAAGGGAUGCAGAGAAUAAAGUUUUGGAAUAUUUGCAGCCUGGCCAUGUGGUAGAAAAGCAGAGAGCAUGCAGUGGUGCAGCCCAGCAACCAUUAGCUAAGAAGAUUAGUCAAAGGAAAGGGAUUAUCAAGAGAAGGAGAAAAAUGCCCUGAAGGCAUUGCAGAAGCCUCUGAGGCCAACCCUUCCAUUUCAGUCCCAAAGGCCUAGGAAGACAAAAUGGUCUUGGGGAACAGACCCGAGGCACUCUCCAUGGGCUUGCUGCCCAGGGCCACCUCAAGAAGCUGCUUCCAGCACCAGCACCCCAGCUGUUUUGGCUGCUCCAGCUGUGGCUAAAUUAGCUCCAGGUGUGUCUAGACCCACAGCUUUGGAAACUACAGGCCAGAAGUCUUGGAGGCAUCCACGUGGUGUUAGGUCUGCAUGGUCACACAGAAUGCCAGAGCUGGGAAGUCUUGGGAAUCUCCACCCAGAUUUCAAAGUAUGUAUGGAAAAGUCUGGGUGCCCAGGAAGAGAUCUGUCACAGAGGUGGAGUCACCACAGACAGCCUUUGCUAGCAUAAUGCCAAGCAGAAAUGUGGGGUCAUUGCAGCAGAGAAACCCUAUCAGUAUCAUGCCUACUGGAGCUGUGAGAGCAGGACCACCAUGGAGACCCCAGACCUGUGGAGCUACCAGAGUGGAACCCCAGCCUGGGAGAGGUGAAGUGUGGCCUGAGACCAGGAAAGCCAUAGGAGCAGAGCUGCCCAAGGACUUGUGGUCCCAACCCCCACACCAGUGUGCAGAGGCAGUCGAACAUGGAAUCAAGGUACCUGAUUCUCCAGCCUUGAGAUUUAAUGCCUGUUCUGCUGGGUUUUGGACUUGUUUGAGACCUGUUUCUCCUUUCUUUCCUCUGGCCUAUUCCUCCCUUUUGAAAUGGGAAUGUGUACCCAAUGCCUGUUCCACCAUUGUAUCUUGGCAGUAGAUAAAUUUGGUUUUGACUUUUACAGGUUCAAAGCUGGAAGGAAUUUUGCUUUUGGUCUCAGGGGAGACUUUGGACUUUGGACUUUUAAGUUGGUGCUGGAGCAAGCUAAGACUUUUGGGACUGUUGGGAUAGAAUGACUGUAUUUGUAUGUGAGAGUGACAUGAGUUUGGGGGUGCCAGGGGCGGAAUGAUGGAGUUUCGAUGUGUUGUCCCCUCGAAAACUCAUGUGGAAAUUUGAUCUCCAAUGUGGCAGUGUUGGAAACUGACUGAGUCAUGGGGGCGGAUCUUUCAUGAAGGGAUUAAUGCUCUCCCUGGGGGAGGGGGGAUUAAUGAGUGAGUUCUCGCUCUAUUAGUUACCACGAGAGGUCGUUGCUUAAAAAAAUACCCUGGCACCUUCUCUCUCUCUCUCUCUUGCUUCCUCUCUCUUGCUUCCUCUCUCACUAUGUGAUCUGCUUGUACCUGCGGGCUCCCUGCCACUUUCCGCCAUGAGCAGAAGCAGUCUGAGGCCCAUGCCAGGUGCAGCUGUCCCAGAGUCGUAAGCCAAAUAAACCUCUUUUCCUUAUAAAUUACCCAGUCUCAGGUAUUCUGUUAUAGCAACACAAAACGGACUAAAACAACAGCCAACUGAUCUUUGGCACAGGGGCCAAGAACACAUAUUGAGGAAAAGAUAGUCUCUUCAAUAAAAGGUUUUGGGAAAACUGAAUAUCCACAUGCAGAAGAAUGAGACUAGAUUCCUACCUUUUACCAUUUAUAAAAAUCAACUCAAAAUGGUUUAAAAAUUUAAAUGUAAAACCCAAAACUGUGAAACUGCGUAAGAGUAAUUAUCCAUGACAUGGGACUGGGCAAGGAUUUUUUAAAUGAGACUUUGAAAGCACGAGCAAUAAAAGCAAUAGACAAGUGGGAUUAUAUCAAACUAAAAAGCUUUUGCACAUCGAAGGAAACUUAGAGUGAAGAGACAACCUGCAGAAUGGGAGGGAAUAUUUGCAAACUGUACAUCUGACAAGGGGUUAAUAUCAAGAGUAUAUAAGGAACUUCAAAAACUCAACAGCAGAAAGUCCCAAAUAACCCAACUGAGAAAUGGACAAUAAAAAAUAUUAAUAAACAUGUCUCUAAAGAAGACAUACAAAUGGCCAACAAGCAUAUUAAAAAUGCUCAACAUCCUAAUCAUUGGGGAAAUGCAAAUCAAAACAACAAUGAGAUACCACCUUACCAGUUAUAAUGGCUAUUAUCAAGAAAACAAAAGAAAACAAGCAUUGGCAUGGAUGUGGAGAGAAGGGAACACUUGUACAGUGUGAGUGUAAACUAGCACAGCCACUGUGGAAAACAGUAUGGAGGUUCCUCAAAAAUUAAAAUUAGAACUACCAUGUGAUCCAGCAAUCUCACAAUAAACAUGGGAGUGCAGAUAUCUCUUCAAUGUCAAAGAGAUGUCUGCACUCACAUGUUUAUUGUAGCGCAGUUUACAAUAGCCAAGAUAUGGAAUCAAACUAAGCAUGCAACAACGGAGGAAUGGAUUUAAAAAUGUUGUAUUUAUACACAGUGGAAUACUAUGCAGCCAUAAAAAAGAAUGAGAUCCUGUCAUUUGUGGCAACGUGGAUGGACGUGGAGUUGGAGAACAUGACGUUAAGUGAAGUAAGCCAGGCACAGAAAGACAAAUAUCACAUGACCUCACUCAUAUGUGCAAAAAAAUAAGUUGAUUUUAUAGAGGCAGAAAGUAGAAUAGUGUUCACCAGAGAGUGGUGGUGGUGUGUUGGGGGGGGAUGGAGGAAAAGAGGGAGAGGCUGGCCAAUGGGCACAAACUUACAAUUAGAUAGGAGGAAUAAAUGCUGAUGUUCUUUCCAUGGAACAGUAGGGUGGCUCCCGCUAACAGUCAAGUUCUGUAUGUUAUGUAAUAGCUACAGGAGAGGCUUUUGAAUGUUUUUGCCAUGAAGAAAUGAAAAAUGAGUGAGGUGAUUGAUACAUUAACCUCUCUGACCCAAUUAUUAUGUAACAUAUACAUAUAUCAAAACAUCUGAUUAGGGGCUGGCCCAUGGCUCGCUUGGGAGAGUGUGGAUCUAAGAGCACCAAGGCUAUGGGUUCGGAUCCCCUUACCGGUCAUCUUUUAAAAAAAAAACAUCAAAUUGUACCCCUCUGAUCCAAUUAUUAUAUAACAUAUAUACGUAUCAAAACAUCAAAUU
This is an RNA transcript of Cynocephalus volans (Philippine flying lemur), 7240 nucleotides long. It is a transcript of the gene named chromosome 15 C8orf33 homolog, with no coding region annotated. The record is from RefSeq and is a predicted model, not a curated record. NCBI's taxonomy places the organism in Eukaryota, Metazoa, Chordata, Mammalia, Dermoptera, Cynocephalidae. The transcript has 5 exons.